AUUGAACGCUGGCGGUAGGCCUAACACAUGCGAGUCGAGCGGAUGAAGGGAGCUUGCUCCUGGAUUCAGCGGCGGACGGGUGAGUAAUGCCUAGGAAUCUGCCUGGUAGUGGGGGAUAACGUCCGGAAACGGGCGCUAAUACCGCAUACGUCCUGAGGGAGAAAGUGGGGGAUCUUCGGACCUCACGCUAUCAGAUGAGCCUAGGUCGGAUUAGCUAGUUGGUGGGGUAAAGGCCUACCAAGGCGACGAUCCGUAACUGGUCUGAGAGGAUGAUCAGUCACACUGGAACUGAGACACGGUCCAGACUCCUACGGGAGGCAGCAGUGGGGAAUAUUGGACAAUGGGCGAAAGCCUGAUCCAGCCAUGCCGCGUGUGUGAAGAAGGUCUUCGGAUUGUAAAGCACUUUAAGUUGGGAGGAAGGGCAGUAAGUUAAUACCUUGCUGUUUUGACGUUACCAACAGAAUAAGCACCGGCUAACUUCGUG
RNAcentral lists this ribosomal RNA (484 nucleotides) under uncultured bacterium. RNAcentral describes it as "partial 16S ribosomal RNA". It matches the Rfam family "Bacterial small subunit ribosomal RNA", at positions 30 to 507 of the family's 1533-position model. The record is from RNAcentral.